CUUUGGAACCGGGAAUGUAGUGAUAUCAGAAACAUACAAAAACCAUUAUUGAUUUUUACAAGUUUCAGUAAUACGUCAGCGGUGAAAGAGGCCGUCCUUCCAGAAAUGACGUAGUGGACGUUGCAGUCGACAUAUAAAUGCGCACCGAAAUCGCGUGUAAGAUUUAAAACAGAUGCGAUUUCACGCCGAGGUAAGUAGCGACAUUAAGUAUUAAACAUUUUUGAUUCCUGUAGUUAAUCUAAUCCGAUGUACGUUUAAUGGCAGAUGGACAAACUCGUAUUUUGCUGUUUAUUCGUUUGGCUGUCUUUUAAUAUCGGUUGCAGUUCUACGGCGAAAUGGCACGAGGACGCAAAUGAAGGGAAUAAGGUGACUAUCGACAGAUGCCAAAUAGAGGAAAACUACGAGCUGAGAAAAUUGUGUGAUAUAUGUUCUAGAGUGACUGGAAAUUACGAUCUGUAUAACAGAUGCUGCUAUAACAGAAACGAAGAAGAAAACUGGUGCCGACAGUUUAUAAAUUAUAGAUUUCAGCCUCAGUAAGAUUAAGUGGCUUUUUUAAUCACGAAUAUUUCGCUUAUUUAUAUUGUCGAUAUACUGUUGUAAUUGUUUCUGUUCUAAUAAACGUGAUUAUCUAUUAA
RNAcentral lists this long non-coding RNA (635 nucleotides) under Androctonus crassicauda. The record is from RNAcentral. Lineage: Eukaryota; Metazoa; Arthropoda; Arachnida; Scorpiones; Buthidae.